RNAcentral lists this ribosomal RNA (109 nucleotides) under Burkholderiales bacterium RIFCSPHIGHO2_02_FULL_66_10. RNAcentral describes it as "partial 23S ribosomal RNA". It matches the Rfam family "Bacterial large subunit ribosomal RNA", at positions 2826 to 2925 of the family's 2925-position model. Lineage: Bacteria; Pseudomonadati; Pseudomonadota; Betaproteobacteria; Burkholderiales. The record is from RNAcentral.
CCUAAAGAGUCGUUCAAGACCAGGACGUUGAUAGGUCAGGUGUGGAAGCGCAGUAAUGCGUUAAGCUAACUGAUACUAAUUGCUCGUGAGGCUUGACCCUAUAACUUUG